RNAcentral lists this ribosomal RNA (711 nucleotides) under Shigella flexneri. Its description in RNAcentral is "bacterial SSU rRNA". It matches the Rfam family "Bacterial small subunit ribosomal RNA", at positions 834 to 1533 of the family's 1533-position model. Lineage: Bacteria; Pseudomonadati; Pseudomonadota; Gammaproteobacteria; Enterobacterales; Enterobacteriaceae. The record is from RNAcentral.
GAGGCGUGGCUUCCGGAGCUAACGCGUUAAGUCGACCGCCUGGGGAGUACGGCCGCAAGGUUAAAACUCAAAUGAAUUGACGGGGGCCCGCACAAGCGGUGGAGCAUGUGGUUUAAUUCGAUGCAACGCGAAGAACCUUACCUGGUCUUGACAUCCACGGAAGUUUUCAGAGAUGAGAAUGUGCCUUCGGGAACCGUGAGACAGGUGCUGCAUGGCUGUCGUCAGCUCGUGUUGUGAAAUGUUGGGUUAAGUCCCGCAACGAGCGCAACCCUUAUCCUUUGUUGCCAGCGGUCCGGCCGGGAACUCAAAGGAGACUGCCAGUGAUAAACUGGAGGAAGGUGGGGAUGACGUCAAGUCAUCAUGGCCCUUACGACCAGGGCUACACACGUGCUACAAUGGCGCAUACAAAGAGAAGCGACCUCGCGAGAGCAAGCGGACCUCAUAAAGUGCGUCGUAGUCCGGAUUGGAGUCUGCAACUCGACUCCAUGAAGUCGGAAUCGCUAGUAAUCGUGGAUCAGAAUGCCACGGUGAAUACGUUCCCGGGCCUUGUACACACCGCCCGUCACACCAUGGGAGUGGGUUGCAAAAGAAGUAGGUAGCUUAACCUUCGGGAGGGCGCUUACCACUUUGUGAUUCAUGACUGGGGUGAAGUCGUAACAAGGUAACCGUAGGGGAACCUGCGGUUGGAUCACCUCCUUACCUUAAAGAAGC